AACGCAUAUUGCACUCUCUGGUAUUCCGGAGAGUAUGCCUGUUUCAGAAUCAUUUAUUACUCUCAUGCUCACAUGGAGUUGGACUAUUUUGCCUUUCGAAAGGCUGGUCUAAAAGGUUGUCCGCAACAAAGGGAAUAAUAAAGCGUGAUGGUUGACCUCUUCGAGGUCGUCUUCGCUGCGUUUCUCUCUUUUUGUGAUGUAUCAGAUAUAUGGUUCAUCUACAUCAUCGAUGUAGAUAACAUAUCACAUCUUGAUCUGAAAUCAGGUAGGAUUACCCGCCGAACUUAA
This 288-nucleotide unclassified non-coding RNA is filed under the name uncultured fungus. Its description in RNAcentral is "sequence contains ITS2". The record is from RNAcentral. Lineage: Eukaryota; Fungi.